GAGAUGGUAUCUCAGUGGUAGAGUGCAUGUUUUGUAAGCAUGCUGUCCUGGGUUCAAUCCCUAGCUUAUCCCC
Dallia pectoralis (Alaska blackfish) is the source of this 73-nucleotide non-coding RNA. The record is from the annotation of a GenBank genome assembly. NCBI's taxonomy places the organism in Eukaryota, Metazoa, Chordata, Actinopteri, Esociformes, Umbridae.